Molecule: ribosomal RNA, 650 nt
Filed under: uncultured marine bacterium
Lineage: Bacteria
Description: bacterial SSU rRNA
Rfam family: Bacterial small subunit ribosomal RNA
Source: RNAcentral
CUACUUUGCUGACGAGCGGCGGACGGGUGAGUAAUGCUUGGGAACAUGCCUUGAGGUGGGGGACAACAGUUGGAAACGACUGCUAAUACCGCAUAAUGUCUACGGACCAAAGGGGGCUUCGGCUCUCGCCUUUAGAUUGGCCCAAGUGGGAUUAGCUAGUUGGUGAGGUAAUGGCUCACCAAGGCGACGAUCCCUAGCUGGUUUGAGAGGAUGAUCAGCCACACUGGGACUGAGACACGGCCCAGACUCCUACGGGAGGCAGCAGUGGGGAAUAUUGCACAAUGGGCGCAAGCCUGAUGCAGCCAUGCCGCGUGUGUGAAGAAGGCCUUCGGGUUGUAAAGCACUUUCAGUCAGGAGGAAAGGUUAGUAGUUAAUACCUGCUAGCUGCGACGUUACUGACAGAAGAAGCACCGGCUAACUCCGUGCCAGCAGCCGCGGUAAUACGGAGGGUGCGAGCGUUAAUCGGAAUUACUGGGCGUAAAGCGUACGCAGGCGGUUUGUUAAGCGAGAUGUGAAAGCCCCGGGCUCAACCUGGGAACUGCAUUUCGAACUGGCAAACUAGAGUGUGAUAGAGGGUGGUAGAAUUUCAGGUGUAGCGGUGAAAUGCGUAGAGAUCUGAAGGAAUACCGAUGGCGAAGGCAGCCACCUGG